This 270-nucleotide ribosomal RNA is filed under the name uncultured bacterium. RNAcentral describes it as "partial 16S ribosomal RNA". It matches the Rfam family "Bacterial small subunit ribosomal RNA", at positions 1109 to 1382 of the family's 1533-position model. The record is from RNAcentral.
GGUUAGUUGCCAGCAAGUAGCGUUGGGCACUCUAGCCAGACUGCCGGUGAUAAUCGAGAAGGUGGGACGACGUCAAAUCAUCAUGCCCUUUAUGUCCUGGGCUACACACGUACUACAAUGGCCGUUACAACGGGAAGCGAAGGAGCAAUCCGGAGCAAAUCCCUUAAAGGCGGUCCCAGUUCAGAUUGUGGGCUGAAACUCGCCCACAUGAAGGCGGAAUUGCUAGUAAUUGCAGAUCAGCAUGCUGCAGUGAAUACGUUCCCGGGCCUU